This is a long non-coding RNA of Neofelis nebulosa (Clouded leopard), 846 nucleotides long. RefSeq lists it as uncharacterized. The record is from RefSeq and is a predicted model, not a curated record. Lineage: Eukaryota; Metazoa; Chordata; Mammalia; Carnivora; Felidae. The transcript is spliced from 4 exons.
GGGAACUCCUUUAGGUCAGGGAUCAUGGUUUUAGCUCCGAGUCGCAAUGCUCUGUGCAGUGACUGGUACAUGACAGGUGCCAAAUUCAUGUACGCUGAGUUGAACUAUAGACCUUUCUACAGCGUCUCUGCUUCCAAGUAUAGGCUUCAGCUGGGCAGAGGGGCUGUGGGUCCUACCUGGGUGUCAUUCUUCAGUGCACCGAGGAUUCCUGACCGCAGCGUCUGGCUAAGGGGCUGAGACAGGAGCAGGACAGUGAAGAUGGCUGCGAAAGCAGGGGAUUUCUGCUCCAAGUGCUCCCCGUCCUCCAUCGAGUGAUGCAGGUUUCGCACAGAUCCUUUCUACUCUGCUCUCAAGGGAUGCGGAAGAUUCGGAUGUCAGCUUUCCUCCUGAAGGGUUUCAGAAUCAGACUGAUUGCUCUGUCUCGGCCAGUACCUUCCAGAUUCUCUCAGAGGGACCUCCUGAUGGUGUUCAGAUGGAAGGUGUCAGUGUUUCACAGCAAACGCAAUAACGAGGCCCCAUGCUUCCCAAGAACCAUUAAAUUCAAUUGGAUUUCAGCAACUGGUGAGGUUACCUCAGCAAAGGCCUGUUUACAUGCGGCUUGAAACGGGUUCCCCUCUGAGCAGCUCAGCACAUUGUCAAACCAGUCUUGACUUGAAAGACAUAUGGCAUCAGCAUGGAAGAUGUCAUCUACGUAUUUGUGUGCGUGCGUGUGCUUACUCAUCAUUGUUGGCUGAAUUAGAGGAAAGUAGACAAGCUGAUUCUUCAUGCUAUAAGGAGUUGGUGCAGAGGAUGAGGCGACAAGGUCAUAGGAAGGUCGGAAAGAACAAAGAGCGGAAGACCUCAGAA